RNAcentral lists this unclassified non-coding RNA (206 nucleotides) under Hevea brasiliensis (rubber tree). The record is from RNAcentral. Lineage: Eukaryota; Viridiplantae; Streptophyta; Magnoliopsida; Malpighiales; Euphorbiaceae.
GGAUAAGAGUCGCACCUUGUCUUAGAGUGAGAUAGCCCUUCUUCUCUUACGAUAUUUCUAGUUGGAUCUCCCUCUUCCCUUUCUCCUUGUUGAAGAGAAAGAGGAUAGAGCUUAGCUCCUCUUCCUUCCAGUUCUUCAGUUCCCCAUCAUCUUCCUUGAUCAGCACAUCGACAUCAGGGAUUUCAUCAAGUGUAUUCACAGUCAGG